RNAcentral lists this ribosomal RNA (498 nucleotides) under uncultured bacterium. Its description in RNAcentral is "bacterial SSU rRNA". It matches the Rfam family "Bacterial small subunit ribosomal RNA", at positions 15 to 507 of the family's 1533-position model. The record is from RNAcentral.
GAUCAUGGCUCAGGAUGAACGCUAGCUACAGGCUUAACACAUGCAAGUCGAGGGGCAGCACAGUGUAGCAAUACAUGGGUGGCGACCGGCGCACGGGUGCGUAACGCGUAUCCAACCUUCCCGUUACUCUUGGAUAGCCUUCCGAAAGGGAGAUUAAUACAAGAUGGUGUUGAAAUUCCGCAUGUAUUUCAACUAAAGGAUUUAUCGGUAACGGAUGGGGAUGCGUGACAUUAGAUAGUAGGCGGGGUAACGGCCCACCAAGGCAACGAUCAGUAGGGGUUCUGAGAGGAAGGUCCCCCACAUUGGAACUGAGACACGGUCCAAACUCCUACGGGAGGCAGCAGUGAGGAAUAUUGGUCAAUGGUCUGACGACUGAACCAGCCAUGCCGCGUGAAGGUGACGGCCCUAUGGGUCUUAAACUUCUUUUGUAAGGGAGCAAUAAGCGCCACGUGUGGCGUGAUGAGAGUACCUUACGAAUAAGCAUCGGCUAACUCCGUG